RNAcentral lists this ribosomal RNA (832 nucleotides) under Listeria monocytogenes. RNAcentral's name for it is "bacterial SSU rRNA". It matches the Rfam family "Bacterial small subunit ribosomal RNA", at positions 49 to 852 of the family's 1533-position model. The record is from RNAcentral. Lineage: Bacteria; Bacillati; Bacillota; Bacilli; Caryophanales; Listeriaceae.
UAAUACAUGCAAGUCGAACGCUUUUUCUUUCACCGGAGCUUGCUCCACCGAAAGAAAAAGAGUGGCGAACGGGUGAGUAACACGUGGGUAACCUGCCCAUCAGAAGGGGAUAACACUUGGAAACAGGUGCUAAUACCGUAUAACACUAUUUUCCGCAUGGAAGAAAGUUGAAAGGCGCUUUUGCGUCACUGAUGGAUGGACCCGCGGUGCAUUAGCUAGUUGGUGAGGUAACGGCUCACCAAGGCAACGAUGCAUAGCCGACCUGAGAGGGUGAUCGGCCACACUGGGACUGAGACACGGCCCAGACUCCUACGGGAGGCAGCAGUAGGGAAUCUUCGGCAAUGGACGAAAGUCUGACCGAGCAACGCCGCGUGAGUGAAGAAGGUUUUCGGAUCGUAAAACUCUGUUGUUAGAGAAGAACAAGGAUGAGAGUAAAAUGUUCAUCCCUUGACGGUAUCUAACCAGAAAGCCACGGCUAACUACGUGCCAGCAGCCGCGGUAAUACGUAGGUGGCAAGCGUUGUCCGGAUUUAUUGGGCGUAAAGCGAGCGCAGGCGGUUUCUUAAGUCUGAUGUGAAAGCCCCCGGCUCAACCGGGGAGGGUCAUUGGAAACUGGGAGACUUGAGUGCAGAAGAGGAGAGUGGAAUUCCAUGUGUAGCGGUGAAAUGCGUAGAUAUAUGGAGGAACACCAGUGGCGAAGGCGGCUCUCUGGUCUGUAACUGACGCUGAGGCUCGAAAGCGUGGGGAGCGAACAGGAUUAGAUACCCUGGUAGUCCACGCCGUAAACGAUGAGUGCUAAGUGUUGGAGGGUUUCCGCCCUUCAGUGCUGCAGC